RNAcentral lists this long non-coding RNA (2939 nucleotides) under Homo sapiens (human). RNAcentral describes it as "HSALNT0343516". The record is from RNAcentral. Lineage: Eukaryota; Metazoa; Chordata; Mammalia; Primates; Hominidae.
CCAAAGCUUGGCCAGCGUGUCCUGCAUGGAGGUCCCUCCCCGGUGCUCCAGGCCCUGGUUUUCUCUCCAGUUCACUCUGGGAUCCACAGCAAGCAGUGAGCUCUCUGGAAUAACACCUACAAGAAUUGUGUCUUGGCUGCUUUCCCCAGAGGUCCUCUUUCCCACCUCCUCCCUGAAAACGAAGAACUCCCCCAUGCUGCCAACAACUAGAUGUAAACAGAAAUUAAUCCAUCUGUGCCAAACCUCAACAUGUCACCUGAUCCUUAUCACUGCCUCAUAAUCGCCUCCAAGGAAGAUCUUAUUAUAUUAAAAAGCAAUUGCCCUCUAUGCUGGUAACACUAAUAGAUUUUUGUGUGAUAUUUAUACAGGAUUUCGUUGUCAGCUCACGAGAUGCUGUUCCCUUCCUUCUGCCUCUUUCCUGCUCCCUUCGUCUUUGCCCAAGUCUCCUAUGAUUUCAGUUUCCUGCAGGUCGCUGUCUGCAAGGUGAUCGGCUCCAUGAGGGCAAUGCACCUGACUUCUUGACUGUUGUAUCGUCAGCAUGGGAAGCAUGCUUGGAGCAUAGUAGGCAUACCAUUUCAUCUAGCAACUUCAUUCAUUCAUUCAACAGAUGGAGCUGAGGUCUGGAGGGGGAGAUAUGCCAAAAACCAAACAAAUAAAUAAAAUAAUAAACAGUUAUCAGGGCUUUGAAAUAAAUAAGUAGGGUUUUGAAAUAGAGGAUAAUCAAGUUUUGGGGGUCUACUCAGAAUGGAAGGCUGGAAUGUUUGCUCUGAGACCUAAAGAAUGUGAGGAGCUGAGGUGAGGGGAAGAGUGUUCUAAGUCGAGGACACAGUCCUACCUGGGGGUUGUGAAGUGGAGAACAAACUCGGCACCUUUGAGGGCCUGAGAAAGGCUCCCUGUGGACAGACCUUCAUGAAGGGAGGCAGAGGGCAUUGGUCAAGUUUGGAGGGGCAGGCAGGAGCUAAGCCAUUUCAGAAAUGUCUGGGGUGGUCAGAGCAUUCAGGGAUGUGAACAUGUGAUUGGACGUAGAAUUUGGGAUCCUUCACAUUCCAAGCAUAAAUAUCGAUGUGAAUGAGAGACCAAGCUCCUGGGAAGUCUGUGGUGUGGAAAUGCAAGGUGAAGUUGGUGAAGAGUGGAAUUUGAACUGGGGAUGCCAGAAUUUCUGGGCCUUUUCUUCUCCCUCACACGGACUGACACUCAUUUCUUCAUGUCCUUUGUUCCUCAAUGUUUACUGAGAUGAUAUCAACAUAUACAGGGAAUUUGGACUCAGAAGGCUCGUGCUCAGAUGGUGGCAGAAGUUGAAAUCAGGGCCUAGCUGAAGCCUUGUGAUAAGUUGAAAAGACCCAGGUUUCCAAAAACAGCCACAAUCGUAACAAUGGCAAUGACAGCCCAUUCUUACCUUCUGGGCUCUUUGGUGUCAGUAAAUUCAAAGCAGUUUCAACUGAAAAUAGAUUUGAUGGUGAGAGCCAAGCCCGUAACAUACCCUUCAUCAGCUAUGGUCUUGUCAAUUACGCAUCAGAAGUGGCUGCUGAUGAGGGAUUCCAGGGUGAAGCCCGAACAGGUGGCGAGGUGCCAGAGCCCAAUCUGAUUGGUGGAAGAUACCCGUUCAGAGUCUGGGGAAAUGUAACCUGCACAGAGAAUCACCCAGCUCCAAGAGAACUUGGGCUUUCAUCUGCAGUGAGGGAAGAGAUGGGAGAGUUGUUUGGACACAUGGAGCAACUCAUUAAUUAGAAGUUAAAUGUCCCCCUUUCUCUGCCAGCUCUGAAUACAUUAAAGUGAAAACAUGAGAUCAAGCACAUUCUUUUCGUUCUCUAUUUCUAAACAUUCCUUGCAUUGAAACCCUCAUGUUUCUUUAUUCCAUGACAGCCGGAUCAUGUCAUGGGCAAACGUAAUCGGGAUGAUGGCCAAAGCACCAGAACUUUUUCUAAAAGAUGCUACUGAGGACUGGGGCUUGCUGUACAGGCUGGUAUCUCCUGGGGCUCACGUCUGAGGUUUGGGCUUCCAGUGGAGUUUCCACCUAGAAUGGAUGCUAGCCUGCUGUGGGGAAUGGACAGAUGGGUGGGUGCACCGUCAGAAGGGGAACUAGCUGGAGUCGAGGCAGGUUUGUGGCACCUUCCACACCUCCUGAUGGAGAUGAGUAAAAGCAUAAACGAUAGCAGUCUUCCCCACCAGCGCCUUGGGGAGGGGAGUGAUUGCAUGUCUGUUUUUGGCCAGAGUGCUUGGAGACAGGCAGCCUAGACAGACGAAACCUUUAUUAUCAAAAGGCAGCACUUGGUAACCCUCCUUCCUCUAUGACACCAGCCUCUCUGGUUGUCAGCUCAUAAAUGUGUCUCCCAGUUACAGAGCACAUGACGUAAUCCUGUCAGAUCUCCUCACUGCCCGUUGGGACAGAGUUGGCAGUUCUAACGGUUAUCCCUGUGGAGGGGGGAAGGCUAGGCUUGGGUCUGUCUCAGCUGUGCGAGUGACAAGGCAGCUUCACAUCUCUGUGCUUCCUUCUCCUCAUGGGCGAAGUCAGGAAAAGUGUCUCUCCUUCCUGUUCCUUCUGAAGCCAUCGUGGUUAUCCCAGGCAACUACAGUCAGCUUCUCUCAACCCAAGGGACUCAAUUCCAAAGAGGGAGCAGGGAGAGCCAGGUGCAGUGGCUCAUGCUUGUAAUCCCAGCACUUUGGGAGUUUGAGGCUGGUGGAUCACUUGAGGUCAGGAGUUCGAGACCAGCCUGGCCAGCAUGGCGAAACCCCAUCUCUACUAAAAAUAGAAAAAAAUUAGCCAGAUGUGGUGGCACGUGCCUGUAGUCCCAGCUACUCAUGAGGCUGAGGCAGAAGAAUCACUUGAACCCGGGUGGUAGAGUUUGCAGUGAGCCAAGAUUGCACCACUGCACUCCAGCCUGGGUGACAGAGUGAGACUCUCUCUCAAAAAUAAAUAAAUAAAUAAAUAAAUAAAUAAA